Long non-coding RNA from Brassica oleracea var. oleracea, 1386 nucleotides. RefSeq lists it as uncharacterized. The transcript is spliced from 2 exons. NCBI's taxonomy places the organism in Eukaryota, Viridiplantae, Streptophyta, Magnoliopsida, Brassicales, Brassicaceae. The record is from RefSeq and is a predicted model, not a curated record.
GUCACUUUCUUCUACCCACACACUUUCUCUGGCUUUUUGUUCAGUUUUCGUUGUGGUUUACUAACCAAAACGUAACUAUAUUGCAAUUAGUGGGUCCCAAUUCUCCUCUUCUUCACAUCUUGUUUCUUUUCUUUUUCUUUUUUAGAUCUCCUCUGAAAUUUCGCCCGUGAAACCAUUGAUUUUAUAAUGAAUAUCCUCCACAUCAAUAAUUCUCUUUCUCCUCUAGAUCCAACCCUCGCCUCUUCAUCACAACUUCUCGAAUUAUCACUAUACUCCUCCACCAUUACUGCAUCUUCUAACGCCGCUGCAAUCAAUUUUUCGGAGAGCUUCGCCUCUUCCUCUCCCUGCUCAGCUCCUCCCUCAAAUAUCUCGUCGUUGUGAUGUCUCAUCCGCCUGUGGUCGUUGCUUUUCGUUGCGUCUCCUCGACAUAAGCUUCUCCACAUAUCAAGCCCAAGACCUCUCCACCUAUGGGUCAUGCUCUCAGCCUUCGCCGUCAUUGGAAUCAAGCCUCGCUGUGUCAUUGGAAUCAAGCCUCGCUGUCGUGUCUCUGCUCCGUCGUAGCCGGCUCGCCUUCGUCGUCUGUUAAAGGCAAGAAGAUCGCUCAAGCAACAUCAGUGGAGGAGUAUCAUCUUUUUGCACUUUUGGUCCUCUAGUUUUCUGCUUCUUUUACAAUAUACCUUAAACUUCCAAUCUUAUUAAAUUGCUUUAAAAAUUUACCGCAUUGUACAUGUGUACAUGUAAUUUUACUGAUCAUUGUGUACAUUAUACCUAUUGUACAUGUGUACACGUAAUUAGAAUAUAUAUCAAACAUGUGAGUAAAAAAUAUGUAUACUUGACUAUUUUAUAUUUAAAUUGCAACUAUAUACAGCAAAUUCAUCAGGUAUACAUAUGAAUUCUUGCACAAUCUAAUUGGUGUACGUAUAUAUUAAAAAAAUUUGUACACUGGUUCAUGUACAUAUGUACAUUAGGAAUCGUCAUGCAUAUAGCUAAUAUUUAAGUGAUAAUAAUGUAUUUCAUGGUUUUGGCUUUUUAUUUUAAGAUUAUAUCGCAUCUUCGUAAAGUAGAAGGUUGUAUUGCAUAAUUACAAGUGUUGAGCCAUAUUGAAAAGCAACUGUGCAAAUCUGCAACUUUAUAGCUAAAUUGUAAAAAGUUGAAAGUUAAAGGACUAGUUGUGCAAAUAUAUGAAACUUGGUUUGGAAUGGAUCCAUUAGAGGUUCGACAGUUCGGAUCGACCCCCGUUUGGUUCAUCGACGGUUGGAGAGGAGGAGAGAUCGCAGAGGUAGGCACAACAGAGCUUAACGAGCCACCGAUUUGAAGACGCGGAGGAAGACGCGACGGCGCAUGGAGUGACCGCACAGUGACGACGAUGGAUUGAAGACUUACUGC